UACAGAGGUCUCGAGCGUUAGGCGGAAUCACUGGGCCUAAAGCGUGUGUAGGCGGAUCGGUAAGUACCUUGUGAAAUCCCACAGCUUAACUGUGGAACUGCUCGGUAUACUGCCAGUCUUGAGCCAGCUAGGGGCUACCGGAACAAAUGGUGGAGCGGUGAAAUGCGUAGAUAUCAUUUGGAACGCCAAUGGUGAAAACAGGUAGCUGGGGCUGUGCUGACGCUGAGACACGAAAGCCAGGGGAGCAAACGGG
Molecule: ribosomal RNA, 253 nt
Filed under: uncultured bacterium
Lineage: Bacteria
Description: partial 16S ribosomal RNA
Rfam family: Bacterial small subunit ribosomal RNA
Source: RNAcentral